RNAcentral lists this ribosomal RNA (498 nucleotides) under uncultured bacterium. Its description in RNAcentral is "partial 16S ribosomal RNA". It matches the Rfam family "Bacterial small subunit ribosomal RNA", at positions 28 to 507 of the family's 1533-position model. The record is from RNAcentral.
GACGAACGCUGGCGGCGUGCCUAAUACAUGCAAGUCGAGCGGACGAAUCGAAAGCUUUCUUUUGCUUCGUUAGCGGCGGACGGGUGGGUAACACGUGUGCAACCUGCCCUGUAGACGGGGAUAACACCGAGAAAUCGGUGCUAAUACCGGAUAACACGAAAUGUCUCAUGACGUUUCGUUUAAAGACGGCGCAAGCUGCCGCUACAGGAUCGGCCCGCGGCGCAUGAGCUAGUUGGUGAGGUAACGGCUCACCAAGGCGACGAUACGUACCCGACCUGAGAGGGUGGUCGGCCACACUGGGAGUGAGACACGGCCCAGACUCCUACGGGAGGAAGCAGUAGGGAAUCUUCCGCAAUGGACGAAAGUCUGACGGAGCAACGCCGCGUGAGCGAAGAAGGCCUUCGGGUCGUAAAGCUCUGUUGUUAGGGAAGAACAAGUAACGCAGUAACUGGCGUUACCGUGACGGUACCUAACGAGAAAGCCACGGCUAACUACGUG